Molecule: transfer RNA, 88 nt
Filed under: bacterium NHP-B
Lineage: Bacteria
Description: tRNA-Ser
Rfam family: tRNA
About the family: Transfer RNA (tRNA) molecules are approximately 80 nucleotides in length. Their secondary structure includes four short double-helical elements and three loops (D, anti-codon, and T loops).
Source: RNAcentral
GGAGAGGUGGCCGAGCGGUCGAAGGCGCACGAUUGGAAAUCGUGUAUACGGCAACGUAUCGAGGGUUCGAAUCCCUCUCUCUCCGCCA